CCAGUGACUUUGCAGUUCCUCCCCUGUGGGGGAAGUGAAUUUCCUCCCUCCGUCUCCUUGACUCUGGGUGGGCUGUGUGACUUUUCCUUGCUCAAUAGAAUGAGAAGGAGGUGGCGCACCGGCUACAAGGCUAGACCGGGGGCUCGCAUAUCUCCACUUGCAGCUGCCACUGCCAUUAGAAGAACUUGCUCAGCCAGCUCCUGGGCCCCAGGAAAAGGACAAGUGUCACCCAGAACAGAGCCACCUCCAGCUGCACUCAGCUCCAGAAGCUGGCCCAGCCGGUCCAGUACACGUGAGAAUAAAUUGUUGUUGCUUUUACCCAUUAGGUUUUGGGGUGAUUUGUGAUGUUGCAUUGUUGCAGCAAUAACAAAUAAAUAUAAACAGUGUUUGAGCUGUGGGCUCCAAUGGACUUUUGUCACUUAUUAGCUCUGGCCAUUAUUUCAACUUUCUAAAUCACAAUAUCUGUCACAAAGACAGCAAAAUAAAAAUACCUAAAGUAAUAUUUUAGAAGGUGCAUGCAUUUCUGUGUGCUAAUUAAAUGAGAUAAUGCUGGUAAGGGCGUUCUGCAGCACCUGGCGCCAGUUGUAUUACAUUAGCCCUUGUGUGGUGGCCCUGUGCCUGGGAAGGGAUUCUGCAGGCAGAGGCCUCUGCAUCGGGUGCUGACCACAGCCCUGUGCCCACCAGCUGGUUCCGUAGUUUUCAGAUUUUACAGGUUAAACGUGCUGAAAGCAGCACGGGCAUACUUGUUCAGCUGAAUUAGCUUCCACAUGCUGAACAUGCCCAGCCUGAGAGAAUGAUCUGGGCUGUGUGUGUGUGCAUGGUCACGUGUGCACAGCAAUGUGAGUGUUUAUUCUUACUGGAAUGUGAGCAAAGAUGGGGAAUAUUUCUGCUUCUUGAAAAUUCUGCAUAAAACCUUCAUCUGUGUUUCUGUUAUUGCAUAAAGUUGGGCACUCCAUUUCUUGGAGUCAACGUUUAAAAGAAAAGACUAAUAGCAGGAAAUGCUGGUCUGUCUUCCUCCAGCUUUUAAAUAAUGUCCUCUACGUGCCGGUGUGGAAGUAGCCCGGAUGCAAUUGAAUGAACAACAGACGGUGCUUUCCAGGACGGCGCUGUGCUUUCCAGGAUGGUGCUGUGCUUUCAUUCAUUUGGGUAGCUCCUCUGUGAGCCUCCCAGCGCCGACUGCAGAGCCCCCACUCUCCAGCCUGCAAGACCCCGAAAUUCAAGCCACACAAAGAAAGGAGGAGGGGGCCGUUGGCAUUUACUGAACCUUAUAAAACUGUCAGCAAAACAGCCCUUAGGCUUGGACUCCCUGCUAGCCGGGUUUUACGGUGCUGAAGUCAGCAUCUUGAUUCAGCUGCAUAAAUAAUCUCCUGCAGUCCUGCAAGGCCUGGGGUAGGAGAGGGUAUGGGGACCAGGGCACUCUGUAAGGGCUGGGAUAGGAACCCCAGGGAAUAAGACAGACCAACUGCGGGACUUCAGACUCCACUGCAGCCGGGAUCGGGUUGUUGUUAAUUUCUUAAGCAAUUUCUAAAUUCUGUAUUGACUCUCUCAUGCAUGUAACUGAUCCUUAGAUAUUGUCAGCCAAAUGACUAAAGGAUUUAGAAAUCUGAUUGACUUUUGGAAAUCUGAUUGACUGGCACACUCUCUCUGCCUCUUUCUUUCUCAACAUUUUAUUUCUAACUAUAGUUUCUUCUGUUUUUUUUAGUUACCCUAAGCAGAUCAGACAUCUCACUUUCAAAAAAUACCUUUCAAAACAUACCUUUAAAAAAUGACUUGCAAAAAAAUACCUCACCUCCUCUUAUUUUGGCAGUAGUGAGAGUAGUAGCCCCAAUGCCAACCAGCAUCUCGUCCCUGCCUCUACACCGUGCCCUGGCUGGGAAAAGUUCCAUCCCACACAUGAGCUGUGGGGUCUGGGCCAGGAGGAGCCAUUGCUCUCGCUUAUGAAGAAGAUAGAGCUGGAUCAGUGAAUGGUACCAGAGGCACACACCUCAGACCCCGCUCCAGUUCAGGUUCUGUUGCUCAGAUCUAUCAUUUUCUAUUUAUUCUGUGCGACGGCCCCAAGUUUAGCAAUCUAAAGCUUGCAUAGCCGGGCUCGGUGG
Long non-coding RNA from Homo sapiens (human), 2096 nucleotides. Ensembl annotates it as lncRNA in non-homologous end joining pathway 1. Its record names the gene LINP1. The record is from Ensembl. NCBI's taxonomy places the organism in Eukaryota, Metazoa, Chordata, Mammalia, Primates, Hominidae.